Molecule: unclassified non-coding RNA, 402 nt
Filed under: Hevea brasiliensis (rubber tree)
Lineage: Eukaryota; Viridiplantae; Streptophyta; Magnoliopsida; Malpighiales; Euphorbiaceae
Source: RNAcentral
UGGGUAUGAAGAUCCAUUACUGACUUGAAGAAUCUCAAGCAGCAGGUUACUACAAUCCAACAUGACCUUGUUAAGUUUGAUGUAUUGCUUAGUGGAGUUUCCUUAUCAAAGACUAUGCCAUAAGUUGCUUCUCAAGUGAAUUAAAACCAGAAAUCCAAAUACCAAUUAGGUUGUUCAACCCAAAGGAUAUGCAUCAGCCUACUCUUUGGUAAAAAAUGGAAGAAGCUUCUUUUUCUGGCCUUCAAAUCUCAACUAAGAAUCCACGGAGGUUCAUUUUACCUACCAGUGCUAAACCCUCACCACUACUACCUACACCAUGCUUACCAAUUACCACCACAGGAACUCUUUCUUGAAAAAUCAGACCUUAAUUGUUGCCUCAUGUUUGGGAGCAAGUUUUUGGAG